Molecule: ribosomal RNA, 481 nt
Filed under: uncultured Clostridium sp.
Lineage: Bacteria; Bacillati; Bacillota; Clostridia; Eubacteriales; Clostridiaceae
Description: partial 16S ribosomal RNA
Source: RNAcentral
CACGUAGUUAGCCGUGGCUUCCUCCUUGGGUACCGUCAUUAUCUUCCCCAAAGACAGAGCUUUACGAUCCGAAAACCUUCAUCACUCACGCGGCGUUGCUGCAUCAGGGUUUCCCCCAUUGUGCAAUAUUCCCCACUGCUGCCUCCCGUAGGAGUCUGGGCCGUGUCUCAGUCCCAAUGUGGCCGAUCACCCUCUCAGGUCGGCUACGCAUCGUCGCCUUGGUAGGCUUUUACCCCACCAACUAGCUAAUGCGCCGCGGGUCCAUCUCAUAGCGGAUUGCUCCUUUGGUUUCAUGAUGAUGCCAUCUCGAAACAUUAUGCGGUAUUAAUCUUCCUUUCGAAAGGCUAUUCCACUCUAUGAGGCAGGUUACCCACGUGUUACUCACCCGUCCGCCGCUAAUCCGUUCCGAAGGAAACUUCAUCGCUCGACUUGCAUGUGUUAAGCACGCGCCAGCGUUCAUCCUGAGCCAGGAUCAAACUCU